UUGAAUACAACUUGGGACUCCAGAACUUCGAAAGAAGACAUGGAAGAUAUGUGGAUUCAUCCCAAUGUUAAUAAGGAAUGGAUGAAGUCAGGAGAGAAAAAGGGAAAAGUUCAAUUUUCUCAUGACACAGAGAGGAGGCCUUAUCUUUCCCAUGUGGAACUAAGGGCUCCAGGAAUGGUUCAAUGAUGAGGGAACUCCAAAUUCCGCUACUAGGAAGUCACCAUCUUGGAAUUGAUGAUACCAAAAAUAUUGCAAGAGUGGUACAACACAUGCUUAUAGAUGGUGCUCUUUUGCAAAUUACUGCAAGGAGAUUACGUGGUUCUCCUGAAAAAGUGGGAGUAUAUUGGCGUCACUUGGUUCCUUUCAGCAAAUGUGGUUUUCAAAAUCUGAGUUUGAGGAACAUGGAGCUUCUAAUGUUCAAAGAAAAUGCCCGUAAAGUACUUUACUGGUGCAGACAAUUAUCACAUUAGACAUAAAUUCAUGGAGCUGACUUCACUUUGAUUAGUUCGCUGACGGUAUGGGUUGCUCGGUUUUAAUAUCCUGCUUUAUAGGCGCCCAAACAAUGUACUAUAUAUAUUUACUAUACCUCUCGCGAAUCGUUGCUAAUGUUGUACAAUUACGUUACCUGACUUUUAGUUCAACAAAUUAUACUUGUUAGGGAAUCUUUCAAGUUUGUACUUGUUAUUGACUUUUAGUUCAACAAAUUAUAUUUGAGCAUUGACUUUUGCUUUUAGAUUA
This is a long non-coding RNA of Coffea eugenioides, 738 nucleotides long. RefSeq lists it as uncharacterized. NCBI's taxonomy places the organism in Eukaryota, Viridiplantae, Streptophyta, Magnoliopsida, Gentianales, Rubiaceae. The record is from RefSeq and is a predicted model, not a curated record. The transcript has 4 exons.